UUUAAAAUCUUAAAAACGACGGGCAAUAUGUGCAUAUUUUAAUAAAAAUUCAAUUAAAAAAUAUAUUUUUUUUUUAAUUUUAAAUCCAAUUUCAAAAAAUUAAAUUACAAAAAUCUAUUCAAAAAUAUUAAAAAAGUAUUUCAUUAAAAUUUUAAUUAUUAAAUAUAUUAUGAUUUGAAUUUUUUUAAAAAUAAAUUUUUAAUAAUAAUUUAUAAAUAUUAUUUAUACCACAAUAUAUAAUUUAAUUUAAUUAAAUAAAUUUUAUUGUGUAUUAUCAAAUUAAUAAACAAAAUCCUCUAAUUUUUAAAAAUACUACCAAAUAAUUUAAUUUUAUUAUUAAUUUAUUAAAUAAUUAAAUUUUAAUUAAAAAAUAAUAAUA
RNAcentral lists this ribosomal RNA (379 nucleotides) under Schizomyia soyogo. RNAcentral's name for it is "partial 12S ribosomal RNA". The record is from RNAcentral. Lineage: Eukaryota; Metazoa; Arthropoda; Insecta; Diptera; Cecidomyiidae.